Molecule: long non-coding RNA, 12820 nt
Filed under: Gallus gallus (chicken)
Lineage: Eukaryota; Metazoa; Chordata; Aves; Galliformes; Phasianidae
Source: RNAcentral
CAGGUAAUAACAAAGGGAUCGUGUCUAUAGAAGGGUGAAGGAGAGAGUCCAGGGAAGGGUAAAUCAAGAAACCAGAAGAUCUGAGGAGGCAGAUUGGGAUCUGGCAGGAGAGGGUUCUGCUGCAUGUUUUGGUCAUGACUUAGGGAAGGCACAGUCACCGAGUGAUGGAUCUGCACCAAGACUUGCCUCGGUCUUUUCUGCAUAAGAACGUGCGGAAGAAUGAUGGUUGGUGCAAGGGGAAGCCAUGGAAAGCCAUGAGUGCCUGUUCAGAAAUCCAGUGGGAAAGAUGAUUCAUGCCAUGUAGUGACACAAGGGCACAAGUGCUGCACUUCAGUCGCUCCACUGAAUUCUAUGGGAUUUUCUGUCUGCUGGAUCACUGGUAAGUCAGGCUCCAUAUACCGAAAGCGUUUGUUUCAGAAAGAUGUAGGAAAUGCUUGGGCUGUGAUCAAGGAAACAGGAAUUUUAACAUUUGUUUCAACCUGUUCCAAAGUUCAUCUUACAUUUCCUUGACCAUUUGUGUAAUCAAUCUGUUAGUGCUCAGUAGAAACUAGGACAAAAGGAUCUGAUCUUUCUUGUGCAUUUGAUGUAAUUGCUUCUAUUUACAGAGGUGGAAUAGAUUCUGCAAAUUCUAGCAGAUAUUUCAUAAGCAAAAAUGUGAAAUGAUACCCAAAAAGAGGAUUAGAAUCGAACUCCUGUAGUAAAAUUAUCUCCCAGUUUUGUUUUUAGGGCAUGUAAAAAUUACUUUGACAUUGGCUUUUGCCAGCAGAGGAGUCCGUUAAAUACAAUCAAUCUCUUAGCUCAUGUCAGGAAGACAGCGAUAGAGAAGAUGACUCUUACUAAAGCUUCAGGUAGAUGCUGUGCAUCAGACUGGUGAGCAAGAUUAAAUCUCUGAAGGCUCUGGCUGUCUCAAUCUCCAUUGAAGUUGCUGGGAUCUGAAGACACAACUUUCUUAUUACGGUGCUGUUUGCUAUAAGUGUUAAUAUGGUCAAAGGAAGACUACCCACCAAAGACUGUAAGGAACAGUAGCAAAACCUUUUUAUUUUUUACAAACGCUAAUGCUACUUGGGGACCAUUUCAUUCCCCAAGUGUACAUCUGUUUGAGCAAAGGAUUCCCAGAAACAAGCAACAAGAAUAUUGAGACCAUUGCUCAAUAACCACAGCUUUUAUUUGGCAAUAGUUAUUGAGACCUGCAAGGGUUUUCCUGGGCUCAAAACUUGUCUGUUUCUUGUAGCAAUGUUUUCUGUUGGGUCAUAUGGAUUAUUUCAUGUUAUUAGAGCUGAAUACUAGUUGUCUACCAUUUCAGAUUUGCUAGCUUUUUAUCUUGUAGCAAUGUAUUUGUAUGCUGUAAUCUAUAGCAAAAUGCCAUUGUAAUUUUAAUGUCAGGUGUACCCACUGUGAGUCUCAGGUUUGUAUCGCUAUCCAGGGAAUGUGUCUGAGCUCUUUCCUUUUUAAGCCUAGUUGAAGCAGUGCAUCCAGAUGCAUUACUUUCAAAUCUUAUUCUCAAAUGUUUUAGUGGAAAUGAUGUGUGAUCAUUUUAAUCUGGCCUUUAUGUGUUUGACCGGAACUCAGCCUACAUAUUGCCGUGAGACAAGGGAAAUUGGAUGCUUUUACUUUUACAGCCAAAGUAUUCAUAUCCUUCCAGAAAAAAAGAACUAAUCUUCUGAAGCAGCAGGUAAGUAAAAGAUUUGUGGAGAAAUGGGAAAGGACAUUUAAUAUAUUUAAUCUUAUUAUACAUUUUUCUACAUUAAAAGUCAACAGGCUGCAAAUAUAUUUUGCUACAAAGCUUUUUGUAGGAAAUAUCUCUAUAAGAAAAUACAUCUCAUUAAACAUUUCCUGUAAAUAAAUUAUCCCACAUAACUAUGUUUUGUAAGAGGAGAAGGGAGAGGGUUAGGCUAGUGAUAAGAAGAGCCAAAAAUUGCUGAGCCCAUUUCUGCAACCCCACUGCUCCAUUUGGGUUACAUUUUCUUGUACACAUAGUUGAAAUGAAGGCAACAGAGCUCCUCUGUUGAGCAUGUGCUGUCAGUGUAAAUAACACAGACAGUGUUAUUUAAAAGUACAGUUCCUGUACUUUUUUAAUAUCUUGAAAUUAUGCUAUUUCUGAACCUUAUUCCUGUUUUAGGUACACAAGAACUCCUUUGAAAUAACCAAAGUGGAGCUGGUAGGACUGAGUUUGAAGUCUGACUCAGACUGUUAAAAAACAGAAGAGCCCACCCCAGAGCAGUUCCUUAUGGCAAUUAAAAAAUAACUCCAGUAAGCAGGCACAGCCAUUGUGGAAAGCCACUGUAGCCCUUAUACUGGCCCCUGAAACAUCAUGGGACAACACAGCAAGGUUUCAAGAUACUCAGGCCUCUCAUUCAUAGACAAGAGUUUAAAAUUCUACAAUGAAGAGAAACAGAGCCAGAAGACUCCUCUCAGUCAUGGAAAACACACUCUGCAACAGGUAACAUUUGCAUUUAGGUCAGAACUCCAAGGAGGCAUUUUUCUUUGACACAUGCCAGAUAGAAUAAGAGAUUCACCAUUCUCACAGUGAACACAGAAUCAUAAAGGUUGGUAAAGACCAAUCAUCAACCCAUCACCACCAUGCCGCUAAACCAUGUCCCUCAGUGCCACAUCUCCAUGUUUCUUGUAAACCUUCCAGGGACGGUGACUCCACCACCUCUCUGGGCAGCUUUCUGAGAUGAAAUUUUUCUUAAUAUCUAACCUGGACCUCCCUUGACACAACUUAAAGCCAUUACCAAGCAGUGCAAGGCCAUGAAUUUUGAAGCAGUCCACAUCUUCACCAGACUGGUGCAAGCUUCUUCACAAUUGCACCAUUCCACUCCAACCCAUACCAUUCAGACUUUUUGGAAGCAAACAUCUCUGAUCAGCAUUUAGCUUAGAUGGCCUUUACUUCAUUUAGGUACUUACUAUUCUCCUUAAGCUUGCCAACUGCUGAAUAGCAUCGCUAUGAUAUAUAGCACAGACUAUGUUAUACAACACAAAAUCUCUUGAACGUAUAAUUGCCUAAAAGCACACAGACAUACAAUUCUCCCUUUUUCAUCAAAACCAACAUUAUCCUAUAGAAAAAUCGACUGAUUUCUAAAAAGAAAAUGUGAAGGCACUGUAUUCUCCCAUUAAGAAGAGAAAGAUAAGUUUAUUCCUACAAAAGAAGACAUAAUGCUUUAAAAAGACAUAAUGACACCACCAUUUUCCAGGAUCCCUUUUGCUGAUUCCCACACAGCUUCAACUAUGCUCACUGUCUGCAGCUAAUUUUACUGCCCAUUAAAUUAAUCAUAGAUUUGUUUCCAUUUCUCAAAAUUAUCCUUGAGGAAUUUGUUUAGAUAAAAAGAUGAGAACAAUUUGGGGCAUUUUCUGGAAAAUGAUGUUUACACCUCCUCAACUGAUUUUCUGCAGCAUUUUAAAUGAAUCAAAGUGUUGCUUUUACUGUACUGCAUUUAUUGAUUAAACACAAACAAAAAUCUCAAUUGACUAAUUUUCAAUGUGGAAUGAUUACUUUUAAAAUAUUUUUUAAUCCAGUCUUGAUUAUACUGCUCUCAGAAAAGAAAAACUUGGAUGAUGUUGAGAAUUUGCUAUGAAAAGUGUUCUUUUAGAUGGAGGGUGGCCUGUUUAUCUGUCUUUUUGCUACUCUCUUGAAAAUUGUAGAAGAAACAGGAGGUGAGAUAAAAACACGCUAGUGCCUUUAGCUGGGGAGAACCAUGCCAUUUUCCAUAUGAUUUCAUUAAUUGUAUUCUUUUUCAAAAUUCAUUUUACAUUAACUAAAGAGCUGGCUGGAUAUUUCCAGAGUGCUGCUGCUCCAUUACUUCUGCCCUAUGAAUAUAUGCAUCUUUGAAGAAUGAAUCCAGAGCGCAGCUGUUUGGAGAACUUGACGCAUGUAUAAGGCUUUCUCCCUUAAGAAUAAGUAUUUCCUCUCAAGUUCAUCCUCAUUCAUCAAAGAAGGCCAAAUCUUUUAGCUAGGAGUAGUGAUUAGACACAAAUGCAAGUGCUCACCUUUGUGGUACUCUCAACGUAUAAUUGGAUUUUCCUUGUUCUAGCAAACCAGACCGAGAUAAAGUGCUCUCCCUUCAACCUUAUCGGUCCUUUUCCUCAUUUUUUCCAGCAAGAAAUAAUUAAUCCUAAUGAACAAUUAUGAUAUAGUUAAAUUGGGACCUUACUAAACUAAAUAACAGAAAAUUCAGAAAUUUUUUUUGUGGAUCUGUGCAUGGUUUUACUGAGUUUGGAAAAUACUAACACUGCUAGCAGGGGAAAAUGCAAAUAAAAAACAGAUGAACAAGCUGUAACCUGGAGAUGAAGGCAUUUUAGAUCCUUGUCUGUCAUCAAGACCUUCAUAACCGCAUCUUUUUUCCAAUAUGGGCAUGUGGUAUACACCUGCAACUUGUCAGCAAGAAACCUACUUGCAGUUUUCUUUUGGUUCCUCAAAUAGCUUUUUUAAAAAAGCUGAUCCUAAAUGGUGCUAAUGACUAUCUGGCAUACCGUAUCUACUGUCUGUUUUACUUUUGGCUUUAACUGACAUUUAAAUGAUACACCUAAUUGCUAGAUCUCAACUCAAUCUUUAGGAAUGGUUAGAAGUUACAAAAGAAGUGUUAAAAAUUGCUGAGAUAAGUGACACAACACAGCCUUAAGUCUAACUCCCGAGCCCUGGCCUAAGUAGAGAUGACAUUUCUGAAAUUAAAAAAUAAUCCAAAACAUUUAUCUACCUAAGGGAAAUGACUGCAUCAUACCCACAAAUUGUCUUUUGUUACAUGCAGCUUGGACAACAACUAUCACGUCUAUUCAAAACUUUAAACAACCAGCUGCCAGCCAGCUCCAUGAAAAACCUUCUUGCAAAUUGCCUGAUGCCAUCAAUUGCCUUGAUCUUUCUUCCAAAACCACCAUCUAUUUGAUAUCCUAGUUAUCAGUCACAGGGAGCUUUAAAUAAAAAUGCCUACACAGCCUCGUCUCCUAGUCACUAGACACUCAUUAGAAAUAACUUAUGCCUUUUGAGAUGCAAUUUAUCUAUCUUCACGGUAUUCAGUAAAAUACGAAAACAAAACAAAAUAGAGCAUGUACCUAGUCUUGGCUAACAGCAGGGAAAAUGUGUUCAUAAUUGUCCUGUUGUCAGUAGUAGUUGAGCGUCUUUGUAUAAGUAAGUAUAUAUAUUUUAAAAUACAGCAAGAAGAAAAUAUAUCUGUAGAAAAGCAUAUACUAACAAUUGUCCAUGCACAACUCAAGGUUUUCAGAAACUCCUAUACCUCAGUGCCUAAAACACAGUCUUUAGAUUGAGAGAAUAGCAGAGAACGUUUCCUAUAUAUGAUGCAAAGACCCAAAUCAGUCCCAGAUGGAGAGGGAAAAAGCAAGCUGUAAACCAGCACUACUUCCCCAGCAAUGAUAACUAAUUCUACAAGGCACUUCAUCCUUUCACAUUCUUCAGCUAUUCAUAUCAUUUUCUGGUCGUAAAUCUCUAUCCACUAAACAUGGCUUUGAUAUUAUGGGAAACCAGAUGAAACUGAGAUAAAAUAUGCAGCACUCCCUGAAGCUGCAUUUAAGCAAUCUUAUUUAUUUUUUUUUAGCCCAGAUUACAGGCCAUCAUGUUGCUGAAGCAUGGUAUAACCUACAUUUGCCCGUGAUAUUCACAUUUUCAGAUUGUUUAGUCUGAUGAAGAGCAUUGAAGAAGAUGCUUUCUCCUCAGUCAUUCCAAUUAGUUUUGUAUUCUUGUAUAGAAGAUAAAUACUGAAAUGGUGCUGCUCUUUCUGAGCCAAGAUGUCCACCCUACAUCUAUCAACCAAAGCUAACCUUUGCCAGGUAGGUUAGAGCAGCACACAAAUGUUAAUCUUUUCUUUUUAAGAGAGAGGGAGUAUGAAACUCCAUUCCUGUCCUUCCUGAAUUUAUACUCAAAAUAGCAAGAGUGCACUAUGGAACUACUCAAAGAAAAUGAUGCAGAUGAUAGAAGGAAAAAUCUGUUCUGUUUUGUUUUUUUUUUCCAAUCCUUCCAAGACUACUACUAAGGCACUUAUUUUUGCAUUAAAUUCACAGUGAGGUUGGGAUAUCUACCUUUCAUAUACACCUAAUGCCAUUCCUUGAAUUUGCAGAGUGUACAGAAGUGAGGUUUAUUUCUGCCUUUGCCUUCCCCUUUUGCCAGAGAUCUACUAUAGCACCUUUCCUCAGCUAAUUGGCAAUGAGGCUUUCUUGAUAGUUUUCCUGGAGUCAUUUACUCUCUUGCAAAUUUUAUGUGGUCACCCUGAACCACAGAGUUUCACCACAAGCUGAAAUAGCACAAGUGCUGGAACCAUUGUGCUGUGGAGUCAAUCAGCCCCAGUCUCUCUGUCUGGCACUACAAAACGUAAUGCAGAAGCACAAGGGAGGAAGACAGAUGUCUAAUGUGCUGAAGGGCGAGUGAAUAGUCUGAUGGCAAGCACUUUACUGAGCUGUGGGAGAUAAGGGCUUGAAUUUCAGCUUGGCCUCCAGCAUAUAUUUGAAAACAGUACUCCCAGCCAGCGCCUUAGUCACCAGGCUCUCAUUUGCUCAUAUUAUGAGGUCUCAUUUGUUUUCAUGCUAAAGCUACUCCACACUGUACUAUCAAGCUAUGUCAGAAAAAAACAGGAAGAUCAACUGGCAUUUUUACCUGAGCUGUGUCAUCACUUAUCCAGCACAAGUAGUCCUAAACACUGCUGGCUUCAGAUCCACCUCCAACACUGAGAAGAGCUGUACUUAAAUAGGUGAUACGGUGGAACAGAUAUCACUACAGACUCCCCCAGAAACACCUCACUUUUUGUUUGUUUUUAAAAUAUCGUAAAGUCCAAGUGCAGAGACAGUUCUGACAGAUGAUCAUGGCUACUACCACUUCCAUCAGAAGCAGCAGCAAGGAGGUUAUUCAGUAUUCUUUUUCUUUGGAUGAUGAGCAGCUAUUGAAAAGUCUCACAUAAGGAAGGGGCUACCAAGGGAAGUGGUGGAGUCACCACUCCUGGAGAUAUUUUAGAGACAUGUGGUUAUAGUACCUAGCCUUGGUAGUGUUAGGUUGGACUUGAUGAUCUUGAAGAUCUUUUUCAAUCUAAAUGAGUCUAUGAACCACAUGAAUAAUAAGAUCGCUGCGCUUACUGUACUGGACACCUGGACAGCUUCUCUAACAGUUAUCACGUGCUGGUUACUGGGAACUGAGCUGAAGAACAGAAGAAAAGCCCGUACAGCUGGGAAGUAAGAGCACUACAAAUCCACCAGGUCAACCCUUCAUUGCAUACACAGUUGUCAUGUCAAAGGGCUAGCAGCUAUUGCAAAGUUGAGACAGAGGGCACCAGGAAAGGGACACACGGAUUAUCCUUGGAAUAGCCUUGCUUCCUAGGUACCAGCAUAUUAGAAAUCAAAUUUAAGCAACUACUCACAGGCUUGUUCAUCCCUUGUGAUACGUAGUUAGUAAUACCCUGUGCAAAUAUCUGUACCAGUAGGUUAGGCAGUCACAUCCAGAAAUGCCUUUUUCUGCAGUCAAAAAAAAACAAAACAAACAAACAAAAACAGCAAACACCUGUUUUUAGCUCACCUACACACACCAUGUUUGUGAGACAGUUUACCACCAGUUGGUACUGGAACUUAGUCUAGUACUCACUUGUUCAUAAUGAAGAAAAGGUUGUUUUCCCUAUUUCCAUUAUUUUUAUAAAAUUUAAAGCAAUGGCUGUAAAGUGAGUGGAAGCCCACCUCUCUACAGCCAGUGUGCUAGCUGGAUGAUCACAACUGAGCUAUAGAGGAGAGAACAAAGUUUCCUCCCUCCAGCUACAAAAUAAACAAUAGAGCUUGUUGGUCAUAGUCUCGGGACUAUGCACAUUGCUUAAUAUCCCACAGCCAUCAGGCACGAUGAAGCAACCAACUGGCUCAAUCCUAGUGAACACCUCUGCCCUGUCCAAAGCAGGACAAGGAGGAGAAUGCUUUGUCCCUGAAGAGUCAACGCAUGAAAUAGCCACAGGAAUGCCAGGUCUGCUUUUGCUUUUCUCUCUCUCUGGAGAACUAGUUAAUCCAAAGUUUUAACCAAAUAGCCCAAAAUAAAGAACAUUUACAAAGAAUGCAAGUUAUUGAAUGACUCCUUAGUUAGACCUGAUCCUGAGCAGAUCCUGUCUUUUACCAGAUCUACAUUGAUGGGAAGGAUACACACACCACAUGUGGCCUGUAGAGCUAGAUAAAUACGUCACGUGUGGGAUUUGUCCCACUAGGCAAUUUGGAGAGGGAAUGAAGAUUCUCUCUGUGAAAAUCAAUGAGAAGACUUAAUGCGAUCUCACAGGACACAAACCUUUGCAACAAUGGAAAUAAGAGCGCUUCACUCAAAACCACAUAAAUUGGAUAAAGAAAAAAUGGAAGAAAAAAUUAACAAACAAAGAAAACUCUUUUCCUACAGCUUUUUUUUUUUUUUUUUCCUGCAAGACAACUGCACUGCUUUCUGAUAGCUUCUCAAACAUAUUCAGACAAUCCAUGUCUUACUGACAAACUUCGCUCCUCUUUCUCCUAUCUGUGAAGUGAGCAUUUGAAUUAAGAUGCGGAUGGGAAAUGAUUGUCAUUUAGUACUAUUUUGUUUUUAAUCCCACAUGACAAAAGAGCUUAUCAGCAGCCAUCUGGAAUAGUACAGUUUUCCCACAGCACUGCUGAUGUUGCUAUUUUCUAUUCUUAGCUCAACACAAGCAUAGAUGAUAGCGAGGGAUCUCGCUGUGCACAAGCAGAAUGCCGCAGUUAAUUUAUCCCAUGGAGGAAAUCACGCUGUGCUCUCAGACAGCUCCAGACAUGGAUCCGGACUCAGACUGAUCUCACCAGAAACUCUCAACCCCCUGUGACUGCUAUGGCACAUAUUGUUCCUGAAAGUAAAAUUCUGGUUAGUUGCAAUGAAACAGAUUUACUCUGUUCAGUUGCCAUGACGAGCUAAACAAUUCAGUUUUUCUUACCAAGCCUCUUUCUUGUUAAAAAAAUAAACGUCUCUGACCCACUUCUCUGCCAGACCUAGAGAGAGAAAAGCACCAUCUUCUGCUGCUAGAUUAAGCACAGGCACUUUCUUAUAGCAAUAACUUAUUUUUAACUCUUCAGCUUAAAACAACACUGCUGUUUAUGAGGUCUGAUUCACAGAUUGACAUAGUGCUACAUCAUGUAUGUGUAUGCUGCAGCCUCCAAAGAUCAUUCCUUCCAACUGCGUGGCUAAUGGCCCCAGAAGCCUGCAUUAUUAAGACAAUAAAUAUUCAUGUUUGAAAGUAAUACUCAAUCUACUGCUAGACCACCAGGGGAAGAACAUUUCUUAAACAUGCAGUAGUCCAGCUCUCAUGAUUUGCUAGAGCCAAAGAAAACUCAGAUCUUAACAACCCUAAAAACAAACCUCAGUGAGAUCUCUCUGAACAGGCAAGGCUGCAGGAGUCACGUGGGUCCUGACUCAGGCUUUCCUCAAUCCCAUCAAAAUGUCAUGGAAAACAAUCUCCAGUUCUGCAAGCAUGGAAUGAGCUAUAUUUUCAAAUAACUUAAAGGCAAACACACUAUACCCAAAAUAUAUUCAUAUGUAUGUUUUUAUGAUACAGAACAACAUAAAACUACUACCAGGAUAUAGUAUAUCUAUGUAUCAUAGAUCCCAAGGCAGCACAGCUAUGGGUCUUCCUGUUCUAUCACACCUUUAAGACAAAUUAUCGACCUCAGAAUCAUAUUGGUGUCAUUUUACUGAAUCAUCCCAUUUCCAAGAAAACAUAUUGCAUUUCCUCUGCACUGUGCACACUGAAUACAUGUGCUCAAGUUUUCCCUCCCUCUCAUGUUUCAUGACCUUGGGAUUACCUAGCAGUGCUUCCAUCUCAACAUUUGGAGAGACCAGGAGCAUCCUAUGUUGCAAACACAAAUCUUGAUUGGUACCUUACAAAAGACAUGAUUAAAAGAAGGUUCAAAAGUUUGGGAAACAGUCGGUUUGACUCCAAAUUUUAUGGGCAUUGUCACUGCAUGAUUCAUACUGCCUAGCAAACGACCAGCAGUAGUGUUACUGCAGAGAGCAUCAAAACAAUGUUAGGUAAUCUUUCAAGUCAACAAUGUAGUGCUAAAUCAGCGUGACAGAAAAACUCUAGAUCUUGAUUUUAUGUCAUUUUUGAAUUCAUCACAAAAGACUGCUUGAAGAAUAAAGGUUUGUUAGCACACACUUUGUUCUAUGUCCAGCCUUUUCAGCAGACUGUUCUUGGCCUUUUAUCUCUGCCUUUUCCCCACCCCUUUUCUGAUGGUUUUGCUUUUUAGUUUUGUCUCUAAUUGGCUAUUUAUCAUCUGUUUCAGAGUAGGAUUCUUCAGGCUUUUUGAUCAGCAUGUUUACUGCUAUGGAUGAACAGUGGGUUGCCAAAAAGAGCUUUCCCUCUGAAUCUAUUAAUUCCUGAAGUAUGGGUUAUUUUAUCCAGAUAUAUUAUCCAGUUGGAAACAGCUAGCAGAUCCUACACCACAGAAAGCACCAGGUAUUAAGCCACACGUAGAUAUUCAGAUAUUGCAGUUGGGAGUAGAAUAACUUUGCUGGGAACUGGCAGCAAGUUGCUGUUUGAACACCUGGGUCUGAAUGUCCCCAGGUUAUGAUGAUGCACUUUCAAGGUGGAGCUUUUAUUGGGAACCAUCUCUGUGCAAGCAUACAUUCAGCAAGAAAGAUGAGAUGACAGCUUUACCUUCUAUAGUACUGCUACCGAGGAAACGAACUUCCUUUGCUUUUAAAUUUUCACAAAGUCUAGAAAAAGGGGGAAACCCUGUCAUAUUGAAGUCAGUGCAAAAAUUCUAUUUGUCUGCUCUGAAGUCUGGAGACAAAAUGCUUCCAAGUUAGGAACAUUUGUGCAAUGUCUGCAGUCCUCAUCCUGGAAAUUAUUCAUAGGUAUUCCUUGCAGAAUACACUUUACACUGCAGAAUGCACAGCAUUUAAGAUACCAGUUUUCAAAAUGCAGUUUCUCUAGUCCUCCUAUUCAUAAGGACAGCUCUAAAGAAAACAUAAGUUCAUGUCAGCUGGAGAGACAGCCAGAUGCUGAAUGUCUGAGAGGGAUGAACCGCAGUCUCCACUCAGCAGACUUCUGACUGCAAUCUGACAUUGAUACUGAAUGUCAGCAUUAUUAAUCCUCUCCCUGAUGGUCGUUUAUGUGGGAACACCUGGCUCAUAUGCUUCUCUUUCUAUCCCCAGUUCUUUCUCUACACAUCAAAAACCACCACUGUCAUCUGAGAUUCAAAACACCCCUGUCCUGUCUCUUCCUAUUCUACAUGAAACCCUCUGCACCGUGAUAGUUGUUACCACUCUUUGGGGGGGGAGGAGUAAAAUGAGAGGGACCAAGUCCUGAAUCUUCAACUCCAAAGCACUUACAAAGAUAGAAAAUCAGGCAUCAAAAUGAGCUAGCCCAGCUUUAAUAUCAGAACUGACUAUGCACUGGUUCCCACUCUCCUCAUUGCAACUGCAGGAAAACUCACACUAUGAGAGCCACAGCUCCUCACCCUGGCCUGCUGCAGCAACAGUUAUGCAUGUACAAGGGGCCAGCAGUGCCCAUGCACAGUGGGACCACCUGCAAUGGAGCAGCUGUCCUGGGGAAGGUCUUGGACACAGACCCACGCGGCUCAGGCAACCUCUGUCUGUAGUUAGACAUGCACUACUGCCUGUUUGACUGACUCCUCAGCUACAGUAAAAGCAAAAAUUGUAAUAUGGGGCUAUUAAGGCAAAUUAUCACACUCUACUCAAAGGAGGACAAAGACAGCAGAAAAGGAAAGGACCCUGACAGACAGUGACAUUAAAAAGUCAUCGUGCUCUUAUUGUAUGAUUAACUUAGACUUCAGCCUGUGGUAAAAAGCUUAGCAAUCAAGGUUUCAACACUAUUUACCAUUUUUUUCCUUUUCUUUUAAAAUGUUCCUAGCUAAUUUUGCACAAACAAGAAAACAUGAACAACACAGCAAGGCAAGAAUAACUUGUGAGUAAAACCAGAUGAACACUAACAUAUUUACAUAGUGUAAUGACUUCACUAUUAAUUCAAACAAACCCAGGCCCCAAUUCUCAGAAGACUGAGCUGAGCACAUGUGGUCCAGGAGACAAGAACAGGGUGGCUCAGACUGCACUGAUGUCGGCAGCCCCUGAGCAAGUAGGGGCUGCUCAAAGUUUCAGUCUACAAUAGCCACUGAGGGACCAUCUUUCAUUCCAGACAUCAUACUCUGCCUACACCCUCUUCUUGCUCAUGAAUUAACUAUAUAUAGAUCAGAUCUGGUCCCCAUCCUCAGAAUAAGCUGAUUCUGCAGCUAAGAAUUCUAUUUAUCCUUCUCCCUGCUACAUUUUACUGUAUCUUCUGAAAAUACAUCUUUUAAAGCACACUCUUCUGGUCUGAAAAUAAUAUUCUUUAUGUGGAGCUAUGGAAUCUCUUCCUUGUUCCUAGAUGUCUUGGAAGUUAAUCAACAUAAAGCCAUUAAAAAGCUUAAUCCCCUAUGCUUGGCACAACAUCAGUCUGAGAAUGGUUUCUUUGUAACAGCCUUUGGAAUAAAUAUCCAUUCAAGAUUUGUUUUUUCCUUAUACUGGUCACCCGCACUUUACAGUGGGUGGCCCUUUCAUUUAUCCCCAUUACUGUACUUCCACUUCUGAAGCUAAGCCAGACACAGCAACCUGAUACUACUUUUUUGUUCAUGCAACUCCAUUGUAAUGAAAAGUUCCACAUAUAACUGAUAUUUGUUGGGAAAGCCAAAGAAACAGGAACCAUGGUAAAAUUGCACCACCUUCUUGACAACUUUAAUUCUGAAAGAGUUGGGUUCUCCAGGAGAACACUUUGUUGGCAAGCAUGUUUUCACAUUUAGAUGCCUCGGAAUACAAACACAGUCAGUCCAUUCCUGAACACCUCUGGUUGGUAGUAUUUGCAUGACAGCC